This 449-nucleotide ribosomal RNA is filed under the name uncultured bacterium. RNAcentral describes it as "partial 16S ribosomal RNA". It matches the Rfam family "Bacterial small subunit ribosomal RNA", at positions 29 to 523 of the family's 1533-position model. The record is from RNAcentral.
AGCGAACGCUGGCGGCAGGCCUAACACAUGCAAGUCGAACGGACCCUUCGGGGUUAGUGGCGGACGGGUGAGUAACACGUGGGAACGUGCCUUUAGGUUCGGAAUAGCUCCUGGAAACGGGUGGUAAUGCCGAAUGUGCCCCUCGGGGGAAGGAUUUAUCGCCUUUAGAGCGGCCCGCGUCUGAUUAGCUAGUUGGUGAGGUAAUGGCUCACCAAGGCGACGAUCAGUAGCUGGUCUGAGAGGAUGACCAGCCACAUUGGGACUGAGACACGGCCCAAACUCCUACGGGAGGCAGCAGUGGGGAAUCUUGCGCAAUGGGCGAAAGCCUGACGCAGCCAUGCCGCGUGGAUGAUGAAGGCCUUAGGAUUGUAAAAUCCUUUCACCGGUGAAGAUAAUGACUGUAGCCGGAGAAGAAGCCCCGGCUAACUUCGUGCCAGCCGCCGCAGUAA